RNAcentral lists this transfer RNA (77 nucleotides) under Acidianus ambivalens. Its description in RNAcentral is "tRNA-Lys". It matches the Rfam family "tRNA". Rfam says of the family: Transfer RNA (tRNA) molecules are approximately 80 nucleotides in length. Their secondary structure includes four short double-helical elements and three loops (D, anti-codon, and T loops). The record is from RNAcentral. RNAcentral also lists the same sequence under 4 other names. Lineage: Archaea; Thermoproteati; Thermoproteota; Thermoprotei; Sulfolobales; Sulfolobaceae.
GGGCCCGUAGCUCAGCCAGGUAGAGCGACGGGCUCUUAACCCGUAGGUCCCGGGUUCGAAUCCCGGCGGGCCCGCCA